Molecule: ribosomal RNA, 464 nt
Filed under: uncultured bacterium
Lineage: Bacteria
Description: partial 16S ribosomal RNA
Rfam family: Bacterial small subunit ribosomal RNA
Source: RNAcentral
CCUACGGGAGGCAGCAGUAGGGAAUGUUCGUCAAUGGGCGCAAGCCUGAACGAGCAAUGCCGCGUGAAUGAGGAAGGUCUUCGGAUCGUAAAGUUCUGUUGAAGGGGAAAAAGAGCGGAGAGAGGAAAUGCUGUCGGAUUGAGAUUACCCGUCGAGGAAGUCACGGCUAACUACGUGCCAGCAGCCGAGGUAAGACGUAGGUGGCGAGCGUUAGCCGGAAUGAUUGGGCGUAAGGGGUGCGUAGGCGGCCUGCUACGUCUGGCGUGAAAGGUACCGGCUCACCCGGUACAGGCUCUGGAAACUGGCGGGCUAGCGCGCAGUAGAGUGCGGUGGAACUCCAUGUGUAGCGGUCAACUGCGUAGAUAUUUGGAAGAACACCAGUGGCGAAGGCGGCCGCCUGGCCUGUUACUGACGCUGAGGCACGACAGCGUGGGGAGCAAAUAGGAUUAGAUACCCCAGUAGUC